This is a long non-coding RNA of Medicago truncatula (barrel medic), 1981 nucleotides long. RefSeq lists it as uncharacterized. NCBI's taxonomy places the organism in Eukaryota, Viridiplantae, Streptophyta, Magnoliopsida, Fabales, Fabaceae. The record is from RefSeq and is a predicted model, not a curated record. The transcript is spliced from 3 exons.
UAUAAUUUUUUAGGCAACGAUACAUAUCAAAGGUAAUAGAUAUUAAAAAAAGAAAUUGUAUCGGUUGAUAAAUGUCAAUUUUUCAUCCACGGGGAUAUUACGAUGUUCAGUUGGCAUUAUGGGAUAACGGCCUAAACGUUGAUGAUGACGGUACCGCAUGCAUCUAGAAGAGUCUAGAACAUUGCAUGCAUUUGAAUAAUUGAUGAGUCGUGUCAUAAUUGAUUAUGUGACUUGGUUAAUUGUGCAUUGGUGAAAUUUGGCGAAUGUUGUGAUUAUGUGGAUUGGUGUAUAUGUGUGUAUUGGUGGAUUUUGUUGAUGGUUGUAAAUAAUUGAGCUAUGCUCUAAUUACAUGCCUUACUUGUUUGUGGUUAUACACUUAGUAAAUCAAUUUGAUGAUAAUUGUUUUGAUAUUAAUGAUGAGGUGAGAUUGUGUAUGUAUGUAUAUGACUUAGUGAUUCCUUUGAUGAUGAUAAUUGCUUGCUUAUAACUUUGAAAUGAUGAAUUGCAUUUGUUGAGUUAAGUAUGAUAAAUGAAGAAUAAGGUGAGUAAUUCUUUCAUUGAUUGAUAUUGAUAAUGAUGAGUUUAUGUCGAUGACUUGAUUAGAGAUUGAAUAUGUUUGCUAUGCUAUGUUAGUAAUAUGAUAGGUUGAGGUGUAUGGAAUGUGGGAUAAUAAUCAUGUGAUGCUAGUACUCUAGGAGGGAUGGUUAUGUAUAUAUGUUAUGCAUGAAAUCCUUGAAAUGUUUAUGUUUGUUUAUGUUGAUUAUGAUUGAUGUGAAGCUUAACAUAGUGGUUUUGACCGCCUACCUGUUUGUAUGAAUGUGUAGACGGAGUGCAGUAGUAGUUUGCUUUUGGUGAGUGUUUGGAUAGCGAGAGCUAAUCUUCGUUAUCGUUUCUUGGAGUCUUAGAUUUAGGCUCUGAUUAGGACGUUGAUCUUUAUGUCUUGUUGGAUUUAUUUAUUAUUGAGAUUUUACCUAUAUGUCGGGAUUUGGAGAAUUUAUAUGAUGAUGUAUUUUGAUCUCAUGACAUGUAGACUUUGGAGAUGUAUGAUCUAUAUCCGCUGCAACUGUUGAUAAUUUUUAUAUAUAAAUGUUGUUUGGAUUUUGUUGAUGACAUAGCGUCUAUUUCUUGAAUAUUUAUAUUAUUCGUGUGUUUUAUCGCUUUAAUAGAAAUAAGCCGUUACACUUUUUCAAAACAAGUUAUUAUUCCUUCCAUCCAUCAUCACAAAAAAAAAAAAAAAGUUAUUAUUCCCUCCUUUAACAUCAUUGACAACCAAAAAUACAAUCAACAAAAUACUAAGAUUGCAAUUUAUACUCUUAAAACAAUAUAUAAUCAUCAAUAGUAAGUUUAAAUCAACACCAACAUUUUCAAUAAUUAAUUUAUUCUUCAUUGCAUCAAAUCCCAAGGGCCAACACACACAUAUAUAGAGAGAGAGAACAACUCGUAUUCAAUACAAAUUUAAGUCAGAAAUUGAAUGACAAAAAAUGACACCAGAAAUUGAAUCCCAAGGGCCAACAAAAUUGAAUUUUGAUGUAGACCAGCAUCCCAACCAACACCAGAAAUUGAAUGACAGAAAAUGACACUCACUGUAACAAAUACAGGAAAUGGAAGUGCGGCAGGUGAAGCCUUGGCCUUAUUUUAUUGAUGAGAUAACAUCGCAAGUGCACAGUUUAUCUAUGUAGUAAUAAAGAGUAUCGUUUCGACAGGAAUGAAUAUUUGAUGGAUUGAGUCUUGGAGCAAAAGAAAGGGGUUUUGGAGCUGAUUUGGUGCAAAAAUACGAAGAUUCGGAGACAAAAAUACAUCUCCCUCAAGUCAGAAGCUUGGCACGGCCGUGCUACCUCCCAGAACAACGUUUGCUACUUUUGCUUAGAUUUUAAGCUACUCUAUUUUAGUUUUACCAAAAAGCCCGUUGCUUGUGGAACAUUCUAGUGAUGUAAUUGCUUAGAUUCUAAGUCGAAUGUAAACUAUAAAUAGAGUAGCUAGC